RNAcentral lists this small nuclear RNA (107 nucleotides) under Myotis davidii. Lineage: Eukaryota; Metazoa; Chordata; Mammalia; Chiroptera; Vespertilionidae. The record is from RNAcentral.
GUGCUCACUUCCGCAGCACAUAUACUAAAAUUCAAACGAUACAGAGAAGAUUGGGAUGGCCCCUGCGCAAAGAUGACACGCAAAUUUGUGAAGCAUUUUCUAUUUAA